This is a long non-coding RNA of Nymphalis io (European peacock), 976 nucleotides long. RefSeq lists it as uncharacterized. NCBI's taxonomy places the organism in Eukaryota, Metazoa, Arthropoda, Insecta, Lepidoptera, Nymphalidae. The record is from RefSeq and is a predicted model, not a curated record. The transcript is spliced from 4 exons.
GCGGGUGAUGCUCGCGCCGCGUAGCGACUGGCGCCUUCUCGUGACGACAAUCGGCGCGCGAACACGUAUCAUCUUUUUUUCAACUGGAAACUAUACGACUCCAGCGGUCCAACCCGACUUAAAUACCAAUAGGAAUUAACUGAUUUUUUUUUUCUAAUUCUUAUAAGAGUUCCAACUGAAGAUUAGUGUAGCUGCGAAUGUGAAUAUUAAAAAAAUUGGCGAAAUUUUUUAUGCCAAUAAAUUCGUCGCUGACAUCAAAUUUUAUAUUUAUAUAAAAUAAUUGGGAUUUUAUUUUUAAAUUACAAAAUUAAAAAUGUGAAAAAUUAAAUUAACAUGAAGUGACGAUUAGUGCUACAGUGUACGGAAUUUUUUUAAAAUAAAAAUGGCGCUAAAAUAGUGCUAAGGAAAAUACAAAUUUGAAGAAAGAAAUUGAAAAGCAAACAGCAAGACCAAAAACGUGAUAGUGUGUGCUAUUAUAUUCCAGUACAGAUAAAGGAUAAAUGCGGAACGGUCGAUGACAUGAGAUGUUUGUGAGUUCGUGAAGAGUUUGAAGAUGAAGAUGAAUUUGGAAGAUCUACGUCAUCGCUUCGAACAUAUUCUGGUGAAUACCACUAGCGAGGUAUAGAGUUCCUACGUAAUAUACAACUGUAGGAACUUCAUACCGUGCUCUUGGGUUUGCCAAUGAUCAACGUGUCUUCUAGAACAUUGUAGAAGAUGUGAAACUUUAGAAUAGAAACUAAUAGUAUGGUUUAUUUUAUUUUCAUAAAAAGUGUCAUUUCACUUUUAAAUAGUACUUUUCUAAUUUACUUUGUAUUGAGGUGUUUCAAGCGCCAGUGAUUUCAAAUGUGUUCAAAACAAAUCAUGCUUAAUAAAAAAUGUCAGGUGUUUUUGUGUAAUUUUUAUUGUAAGACAUGUAACUUAUGUAUGUGUAUGUGUGUGUCACUUUUUAAAAAAUAACCUAUUUAAUUAAACUUAC